Molecule: long non-coding RNA, 1044 nt
Filed under: Vulpes vulpes (red fox)
Lineage: Eukaryota; Metazoa; Chordata; Mammalia; Carnivora; Canidae
Description: lncRNA (ENSVVUG00000000380.1)
Source: RNAcentral
CAGGACUUCAACUAUCAAGAGCUAUAUGAAUCACCCUCCACAGAUACUCUUAUUUACUUAAUUUAAUUGAAAAAACAUUCUCACUGAAUUUAGCCUGAAUCUGAAGUUUGAAAACAUCAUUUUGGUACUUAGGGUAUUAGAGGGCUUUGAUGAAGUCUUUGUAGGAAUAUAGCACCUCAUAGCAAGUAAAUUUUAUCUACUUGAAGAUGUUUUACAAUUUCUUAUGGUUUUUUCUAGACUACUUAUAGAGAAUGGCAUUUCAUAUAUUCAUUUACCUAUAUAACUAAAAUAAUGUCAAUAUUCAUGUCCUAAUAACCUUUUCUUAUUUUCCAAUUCUUUUUUCUCAUCUCCUUCUUUGGUCCUGGGGAAAAAAAAAUGACUUAGAGCAGGUCCUUUAAUUUUCCCUUUACUUACUCUUAAAACCAAAAUACACUUUUGACAUUUCCAUUUUCUAGCAUGCCUUUCUGGAUUUUAUGGCUUGAAUUGUGCUCACAUCCGUGACAGCAAAAUGGAGCCAGUUGUGAUGUAGCAGGUGGACAGUGCAUUUGCCCAGCAGGUUUCCAUGGCAGCCAGUGUGAAAAAGGAAGAAUGACCUAGAAUGUAAAGUGCUAACUCUUCGGGGACUGUCUUAAGAAGGGGAAAAAGUAUAUUGAAUUGACUCAUCUCUUGCUAUUUGACUUCAUGGAUGCUUACUAUAUGAAAAGGAUGCAGGUCAGGCCAGUUUGGACCUGACGGUGCUCCCAAGUGCCACUGUAUCCACAGAGUUCACCGUACCCCUUGUGAUGGGAGCUGCACUUGCCCCUGGAAGAGAAUGGGCCCAACCUGUGAGGAAAAUGAUUUGGACGAUCCUGAACAACCAAAUACAGCUUUUCAGUGGGCCAUCCUUCAUCUGAACAGAGGACAAAGUGAAGUGAAGAUUCAAAGCUACCAAGAAGAUUAAACAAAAAUGGAGUGCAAUACCUGCACCAUAUAGAUUCUCAUUAAAUGUAAGUGGAACCUGGACUGUUUAGUCUAAAUCUCUUAAUAGCAAUACCAUUGACAAUA